This 251-nucleotide ribosomal RNA is filed under the name uncultured prokaryote. RNAcentral describes it as "partial 16S rRNA". It matches the Rfam family "Bacterial small subunit ribosomal RNA", at positions 525 to 775 of the family's 1533-position model. The record is from RNAcentral.
ACAGAGGUGGCAAGCGUUACUCGGAAUUAUUGGGUGUAAAGGGCAGGUAGGUGGCCUGUUAAGUGAGGGGUGAAAUCCUGCGGUUCAAUCGCAGAACAGCCUUUCAAACUAUCAGGCUUGAGAGAAACAGAGGAAGAUGGAAUUCCCGGUGUAAGGGUGAAAUCUGUAGAUAUCGGGAAGAACACCGAAGGCGAAGGCAAUCUACUGAGUUUCUUCUGACACUGAGCUGCGAAAGCUAGGGGAGCAAGCAG